RNAcentral lists this transfer RNA (76 nucleotides) under Clostridiales bacterium. RNAcentral describes it as "tRNA-Ala". It matches the Rfam family "tRNA". Rfam says of the family: Transfer RNA (tRNA) molecules are approximately 80 nucleotides in length. Their secondary structure includes four short double-helical elements and three loops (D, anti-codon, and T loops). Lineage: Bacteria; Bacillati; Bacillota; Clostridia; Eubacteriales. RNAcentral also lists the same sequence under 1 other name. The record is from RNAcentral.
GGGGGGUUAGCGCAGCUGGGAGCGCGUUUGACUGGCAGUCAAGAGGUCACGGGUUCGAUCCCCGUACUCUCCACCA